RNAcentral lists this ribosomal RNA (80 nucleotides) under Senecio inaequidens. Its description in RNAcentral is "5.8S ribosomal RNA". It matches the Rfam family "5.8S ribosomal RNA", at positions 1 to 75 of the family's 154-position model. Rfam says of the family: 5.8S ribosomal RNA (5.8S rRNA) is a component of the large subunit of the eukaryotic ribosome. It is transcribed by RNA polymerase I as part of the 45S precursor that also contains 18S and 28S rRNA. Lineage: Eukaryota; Viridiplantae; Streptophyta; Magnoliopsida; Asterales; Asteraceae. The record is from RNAcentral.
UAAACGACUCUCGGCAACGGAUAUCUCGGCUCACGCAUCGAUGAAGAACGUAGCAAAAUGCGAUACUUGGUGUGAAUUGC